GGGAGACGCAUUCCGUGUACUAAUAAGGCGUCUGGAAAAAUGGAAUUACAGUGUGCAGGAAUCCCAUGACCCUCUGCAGCUCCAGCCAUGGCAUGGUUGCUGUUAAAAAUGUUACAGCAGACCUUGAAAUCCUACUUGAUGUUUCUGACGUAGAACCUAGACUUCUUGAUUCCUGAACUUAUCUGCUCUCUUCAGGAAUAGAUCCGGGAGGCCAGAAAACUAACCACCUACCUCUCAUCUUCCUACUCAAGCAGUUGGACCUGGACUGGGGCCAGAAAUUCUAGUCAGCCAUGAGGCUCAUUGCCUACCCUUGGUGCAGAGGCCAGCUCCAGUCCAGGAGUUUCAUCCUUAGCCUCAAGACCCUCUCCCCCAACCCUUCAUUACUCCUUGCUCUGGACCACAGGGUCUUGCUCUGUUCAAGCUAGAGUGUGGUGGUGUGAUCAUAGCUUACUGCAGCCUCAAACUCCUAGACUGAAACCAUCCUCUCACCUCAGGUUUCCAAGUAGGUGGGAACACAGAAGGCCCCCAGGUCCUGCUUCUGCCUUGUCCAUUGUAACUGAGAUCAAAGCCUUCAAGCAGAUAACUGGAGCUCACCCUGCCUGCUGGAUACCUGCUUGCUGUUUCCCAAUACCUCAUAGUUAGACGACGCAUCUUACUAAAGUGAAACAUUCUGUAUCCCUUCAUGAGAACACUCUAGAAAAAUCUAACAAGAGAAGUUUUCCUCUUACUUUUAAAAAACAAGCCUGUCAUUUCUUAAUUUUCUCCCUGGUCCAUUUUCCACCGAUUGUCUUGCUCGGAGUAGCUCUAAGCACUCAAAUAAAGCUCACCAGUAGGGGUAGAUUUGUGAAAUUUCUACAAGCUUCCUCACAGCUUUAUCCUGCUCCUGUCAGCCAUUUCUGCAAGAAAAUGGAUGUUUAAUCAGUGCAAGAGUGCAGUUUAUUAGUCUGGCUCCUCAGCCAUCACCUCCAUUCAGGCUCGAGGAAGACUACAGAAAGAAACCCACAGUGCUGCCAGUGACUGCCCAGGAUGCAGGAAUUUCAACACGAAGCAGCACCUUUAUGAACCAAGCACAGUAUUUAUCUCAAUAUAGCUUUGACUGUAUGGUAAUAAGUAAAUUAUUUCUAAACAUUUGUGACUGAAGAUUGGUACAUGGAAAUGUUUGUGAAAUUAUCUUUUUGAGAGAAUAUCUUAAAAAUUAUUUAGUUCACAAAAUGGAAGAUUGAGGGCAAGUUUAAUAGAAAUGUGAGAACAGCAGUAUCAGCAUCUUUCCUGUUACUCUUCUGAGUCGGAAGGGAGAGAAUGAGCUAAAAUUGUUGCAGAAGGAAUUUGGUGUUGACUUUGGGAAGAAUUUUCUGCUAAUACGUUGAAGUGCUGGAUAACCUUACAGAAGGAGCUUCUGGGUUUCAUUCUACCAACAUCUACUGAACACCUUCUGGAGAUUUUCUGGUUUGUGUCUAAUUCUGUCCUACAGCUAAAUUGGGAAGAUUUCACCCAAAUGCUUUUCCAGAGUCUGGUUUUCCUAAAUUGAAGUGUUGCUAUCUCUUUUUUCAAACUUAACUUUUCUUUUUAUUCUCAGCCACCUAUGAAAUUUCCCUGGGCCAAGGCCUGGAGCCUGCCAUAUGCACACAAAAAAAAGUUUUAAAAAUGAAG
This is a long non-coding RNA of Callithrix jacchus (white-tufted-ear marmoset), 1650 nucleotides long. Lineage: Eukaryota; Metazoa; Chordata; Mammalia; Primates; Cebidae. The record is from Ensembl.